UGGGGAAUUUUGGACAAUGGGCGAAAGCCUGAUCCAGCAAUGCCGCGUGUGUGAAGAAGGCCUUCGGGUUGUAAAGCACUUUUGUCCGGAAAGAAAUCCUUGGCUCUAAUACAGUCGGGGGAUGACGGUACCGGAAGAAUAAGCACCGGCUAACUACGUGCCAGCAGCCGCGGUAAUACGUAGGGUGCAAGCGUUAAUCGGAAUUACUGGGCGUAAAGCGUGCGCAGGCGGUUUGCUAAGACCGAUGUGAAAUCCCCGGGCUCAACCUGGGAACUGCAUUGGUGACUGGCAGGCUAGAGUAUGGCAGAGGGGGGUAGAAUUCCACGUGUAGCAGUGAAAUGCGUAGAGAUGUGGAGGAAUACCGAUGGCGAAGGCAGCCCCCUGGGCCAAUACUGACGCUCAUGCACGAAAGCGUGGGGAGCAAACAGGAUUAGAUACCCCUGGUAGUCCACGCCCUAAACGAUGUCAACUAGUUGUUGGGGAUUCAUUUCCUUAGUAACGUAGCUAACGCGUGAAGUUGACCGCCUGGGGAGUACGGUCGCAAGAUUAAAACUCAAAGGAAUUGACGGGGUCAUAGCUGUUUCCU
This 586-nucleotide ribosomal RNA is filed under the name uncultured bacterium. RNAcentral describes it as "partial 16S ribosomal RNA". It matches the Rfam family "Bacterial small subunit ribosomal RNA", at positions 355 to 1375 of the family's 1533-position model. The record is from RNAcentral.